Molecule: ribosomal RNA, 468 nt
Filed under: uncultured bacterium
Lineage: Bacteria
Description: partial 16S ribosomal RNA
Rfam family: Bacterial small subunit ribosomal RNA
Source: RNAcentral
GACGAACGCUGGCGGCGUGCUUAACACAUGCAAGUCGAACGGAAAGGCCCUGCUUUUGUGGGGUGCUCGAGUGGCGAACGGGUGAGUAACACGUGAGUAACCUGCCCUUGACUUUGGGAUAACUUCAGGAAACUGGGGCUAAUACCGGAUAGGAGCUCCUGCUGCAUGGUGGGGGUUGGAAAGUUUCGGCGGUUGGGGAUGGACUCGCGGCGUAUCAGCUUGUUGGUGGGGUAGUGGCUUACCAAGGCUUUGACGGGUAGCCGGCCUGGGAGGGUGACCGGCCACAUUGGGACUGAGAUACGGCCCAGACUCCUACGGGAGGCAGCAGUGGGGAAUAGUACACAAUGGGCGGAAGCCUGAUGCAGCAACGCCGCGUGCGGGAUGACGGCCUUCGGGUUGUAAACCGCUUUCGCCUGUGACGAAGCGUGAGUGACGGUAAUGGGUAAAGAAGCACCGGCUAACUACGUG